UACGUAGGGGGCUAGCGUUGUCCGGAUUUAUUGGGCGUAAAGAGCGUGUAGGCGGCCAGAUAGGUCUGCUGUGAAAACUCGAGGCUCAACCUCGAGCUGUCGGCGGAAACCAUUUGGCUAGAGUCCGGAAGAGGAGAGUGGAAUUCCUGGUGUAGCGGUGAAAUGCGCAGAUAUCAGGAGGAACACCGAUUGCGAAGGCAGCUCGCUGGGACGUAACUGACGCUGAGACGCGAAAGCGUGGGGAGCAAACAGG
RNAcentral lists this ribosomal RNA (253 nucleotides) under uncultured bacterium. RNAcentral's name for it is "partial 16S ribosomal RNA". It matches the Rfam family "Bacterial small subunit ribosomal RNA", at positions 524 to 776 of the family's 1533-position model. The record is from RNAcentral.